This 698-nucleotide ribosomal RNA is filed under the name uncultured Tuber. RNAcentral describes it as "eukaryotic LSU rRNA". The stretch from base 284 to 437 matches the Rfam family "5.8S ribosomal RNA". Lineage: Eukaryota; Fungi; Ascomycota; Pezizomycetes; Pezizales; Tuberaceae. The record is from RNAcentral.
UCUUGGUCAUUUAGAGGAAGUAAAAGUCGUAACAAGGUUUCCGUAGGUGAACCUGCGGAAGGAUCAUUAAAAAUGGUCGGGACCCCCCACAUAAGGUCCCCGAGCUUCAAACCUCCCUGAGUACCCAUCCAUGUUGCUUUCCCAGGUCAGCAGCCAUUGCUGCCCGUCCACCCAUGCCUGGUCACUGGACGGAGGUGCCUGGGGAAGGGCCCAAACAGAAACUAUGGUGCACACAGGCUGUCUGAGUUGGUGGGCCAUGUGCCCGGUUAAUUGAACAAGUUAAAACUUUCAACAACGGAUCUCUUGGCUCUCGCAUCGAUGAAGAACGCAGCGAAAUGCGAUAAGUAAUGUGAAUUGCAGAAUUCAGUGAAUCAUCGAAUCUUUGAACGCACAUUGCGCCCUUUGGCAUUCCUUAGGGCAUGCCUGUUCGAGCGUCACUAGCAACCUUCUCACGCAUCGCGUGGUAUUGGUGGAAGCUCCCCCGUGGCUCCUUGGAACUGCGGUACAGCUCUGCUGAAAUGCAUAAUCAGGACAAACAGGCCCCGACGAGUGACUUAGUAACUGUCGUGAAGAUGUAGACCAGUCAGCAGUCAGGCCUUGCCCUGCCCACCCAGACCCCCCAUCUGGUGUGAUCCUUUGGUUGACCUCGGAUCAGGUAGGCAUACCCGCUGAACUUAAGCAUAUCAAUAAGCGGAGGA